Molecule: ribosomal RNA, 505 nt
Filed under: Paenibacillaceae bacterium CL2.97
Lineage: Bacteria; Bacillati; Bacillota; Bacilli; Caryophanales; Paenibacillaceae
Description: bacterial SSU rRNA
Rfam family: Bacterial small subunit ribosomal RNA
Source: RNAcentral
CCCUGGCUCCAGGACGAACGCUGGCGGCAUGCCUAAUACAUGCAAGUCGAGCGGAGUAAGAAUGGAAGCUUGCUUCCAUUCUURCUUAGCGGCGGACGGGGUGAGUAACACGUAGGCAACCUGCCCUCAAGACUGGGAUAACUACCGGAAACGGUAGCUAAUACCGGAUAAUUUCUUUCCUCUCCUGAAGAGAGAAUGAAAGGCGGAGCAAUCUGCCACUUGGGGAUGGGCCUGCGGCGCAUUAGCUAGUUGGUGGGGUAACGGCUCACCAAGGCGACGAUGCGUAGCCGACCUGAGAGGGUGAACGGCCACACUGGGACUGAGACACGGCCCAGACUCCUACGGGAGGCAGCAGUAGGGAAUCUUCCGCAAUGGGCGAAAGCCUGACGGAGCAAUGCCGCGUGAGUGAUGAAGGUUUUCGGAUCGUAAAGCUCUGUUGCCAGGGAAGAACGUCCGGUAGAGUAACUGCUACCGGAGUGACGGUACCUGAGAAGAAAGCCCCGGC